CUACGGGUCGCUGCAGUGGGGAAUAUUGCACAAUGGGCGCAAGCCUGAUGCAGCAACGCCGCGUGAGGGAUGAAGGCCUUCGGGUUGUAAACCUCUUUUAGCAGGGAAGAAGCGAAGGUGACGGUACCUGCAGAAAAAGCACCGGCUAACUACGUGCCAGCAGCCGCGGUAAUACGUAGGGUGCAAGCGUUGUCCGGGAUUAUUGGGCGUAAAGAGCUCGUAGGCGGUUUGUCACGUCUGCUGUGAAAAUCCAAGGCUCAACCUUGGACUUGCAGUGGGUACGGGCAGGCUAGAGUGCGGUAGGGGAGAUGGGAAUUCCUGGUGUAGCGGUGGAAUGCGCAGAUAUCAGGAGGAACACCAAUGGCGAAGGCACAUCUCUGGGCCGUAACUGACGCUGAGGAGCGAAAGCGUGGGGAGCGAACAGGAUUAGAUACCCCUGUAGUC
Molecule: ribosomal RNA, 444 nt
Filed under: uncultured bacterium
Lineage: Bacteria
Description: partial 16S ribosomal RNA
Rfam family: Bacterial small subunit ribosomal RNA
Source: RNAcentral